This is a small nuclear RNA of Octodon degus (degu), 107 nucleotides long. Lineage: Eukaryota; Metazoa; Chordata; Mammalia; Rodentia; Octodontidae. The record is from Ensembl.
GUGCUCGCUUUGGCAGCACAUAUACUAAAAGUGGAAUGAUACAGAAAAAAUUAGCAUGGCCCCUCUGCAAGGAUGACACACAAAUUCAUGAAGCAGUCCAUAUUUUU